RNAcentral lists this non-coding RNA (23 nucleotides) under Arabidopsis thaliana (thale cress). The record is from RNAcentral. Lineage: Eukaryota; Viridiplantae; Streptophyta; Magnoliopsida; Brassicales; Brassicaceae.
ACUCAGAUGGAGUUUGGAAUGCA